UCUGCAGUUUCCCUCAUGAUAGAUGGAGUACAUAAUGAAGCUGUUAUAUUCGGUAAAGCGAAUGAUUAAAGGAAUUGUGAGACGAAACGUCUUCAACCUAUUCUCAAACUUUCAAUGAGUAUGACGUUUCGUUUGCUUGAAUGAAGCGUAGACGUUGAAUGUGUGCUCCACGUACGCCAUUUUUGGUGAACAGAAGUAACGCUGUGGGAGGAACCAAACGUUGAGUAAAAGUGUAAGUCUUCCGCUCAAGACCAUCCAUUUUCAGAGCUAUUUGGUUUUCAAUAAAGA
This 288-nucleotide non-coding RNA is filed under the name Onchocerca volvulus. RNAcentral's name for it is "Eukaryotic large subunit ribosomal RNA". It matches the Rfam family "Eukaryotic large subunit ribosomal RNA", at positions 960 to 1241 of the family's 3401-position model. Lineage: Eukaryota; Metazoa; Nematoda; Chromadorea; Rhabditida; Onchocercidae. The record is from Rfam by way of RNAcentral.